GCCCCUUGCUCAUUGGAUGAAUGGAUGGGGGGCCGGCGGACGGAAAUCGCGAGAGGAUGCGAAGGUACGGAGAAGUUUCUAGACGCCACUAGUUUCUUCUAUUGCCUGUGACUGAGAUCUGUUAGAAGGAUUUCGAUGUCAUUUUUUUUUUCUGUUCAGACGUCGUGUGUGAUGUUAUGUUGAGCGGUGAGCGCGGCGGGGGUGCACCGGUGGUAGAUCCGCCGUUUGGCUCUGCUGUUGUGGUUAUUGCUGGAUUUCACAUAUAGGUUCGGGAGAAGGAUGUUAGUGUUAACUGUGUCUUUGUUUGAACGUGUCGUUUGGCUGAUUAGUCAUGGCUAAAAGUAUUGUUCGUUGAUUUAUUUUGAGAAAAAACACUAUUAAAUAACUGACAGAUUCGAUAGAUAAGCUCAAGCAAACGAGAAAUUUUGGCCGUCCCACAAGAUAUCUAGCUGUACUUAAAUGCCAUUGUGCUUGUUUAGUUCUGAUACUGUUUGAACCUGUUAAACCAACAACCACGAUGUCGAGCAUUUCCACCAGAUCUCUUAUAUUACAUCUCCAAUAACUUGUCCCCUAAAAUGCCUUCAAACUUAUCUCCUAUAAAAUUAGUAAAUCUAGGAUAUAAGAGAGCACUACUAUAGCAGAUUAUCUGAAACUCCUAUAUUUGUUUAGGAUAUGUGAGAGGGGUUGUCUCCUUUGGGAGAAAUGAUCAGGAGAUCUCUUAAAAAUUAUAGGUAUAGGAGAUGAGAUAGAAGAUCUGUUGUAGCAUCUCCAUCUGCUACUUCCUACAUUCCAAAUGAUAAGUUAUUUUGACCUUUUUAGAUAUAUAUUUUUUAUUAUGUAUAUCUAGACAUAACCUAUGUCUAGGACUCUUGAUGUAUAUCAAAAACUAUGUAUUUAGCAAAAGCCAAAACGACUUACAAUUUGGAACAGAGGGAAUACUUUUUAGGUAUAUGAGAUUGGAUAGGAUUUCUGAUGGAGAUGCUCUUUGUUGAUUAUGGCAUUUUUGUAUUAUUGCAGCUAUUUACCUUUUGUUUGUUACAAGUAGCACUGAUUUACCUCACCGUUUCAUUGUCAGCAUUCGUUUCCCAAGCAGUUCAACAUUUUGUUACUGGCUGGUCUGACGUUUGUUUACUUGUUCUUGAUUGACUAGACAUUGGCGUAUUGCAUAUGGUGGCACCAAGCAUGAGGCAGGAACUGCAUUACUUGCAAGAAAGUCACAAGUAAGAUACCAAAGCUUGUGGUUCAUUAUAAGGUGUUUUAGUGCUGCCUCUUUGUUUUUUCCAACCUCUUGUUCCACAAACAGCCCUCUAGCUUGUAUGUAGUCCUGUGAUUCACCUUUAUGGCCUUUAAGUUGACCAUUAUGGGCCUUCUUCCUCCUGUGUACCCUUCUGUACAGCUCAGAAUUUGUAAUUUUUCUGCUCAUAAAUCAGAGUUGUUUUAUGAGGAAUGAAAGCAAAACAUGAUUCCUGUGUCCACUUGAAGUAAGCUUCAACUAGAACACACGUUUUUUUAUACCAAAAAUUUAAAGUACAAAUUUGAGGGAAUCCACAUGCGGAUAUGCCCAUUAACUAUUACUAGUUCGUACCAAGAACUAGUCCCUAAAUGAUUAUUGCGUAUUACUCCCUUCCUUCUUAUUGGAUGCUACAAAACUGGUGGCCAGGAGCAUUGAUAUUCCAGGACCUGCGCACUCAAACAUCUUUUCGUGUAGAGCAAAUUUCUAAAAUUUAAUGGCUAUGUUUAGAAGUAUCUAGACCGUGAUAUGAAAGUUCUAUCACUAUCUUCGUUUGGUUAAUGUACAUCCAAAGUACAAAAAGGUUCAAAUUUCUUCCUCCCAAGUAAGGCAUGUGUUUGAAUAAUGAAUAAACAAAAUUUUGUUCCAUAUACUCUCCCCUAAGUAUUUCAAAUAGAUUUGUCUUUUUCGUUUUCCAUGUACAACAAUACAAGUUGAGUUUGAAGUUCAAAUGAUGUGGGUUCAUAGAAGACACCAUAUGUUAAGAAAAUAUAUCAUGAAUUUUUCUAUCAUUGUUCUGAUAGCUUAGGAUGUCUAAUAAUAAUUUAUGGUGUCUGCUAUCAUAACCCCACAUCAUUUGAACUUCAAACUUAAUUUGUACAUGGGAAAUAAAAAAUACAAGUAGUAUUAAGGAGUAAGGACAUUGGACCAGCAAAAGUAGUUGGAGGGAGUAAAUCAAACCAAAGCUUUGCUUAGGUGGUUCUUCAUACUUGAGGGAAGUAAUUCAAAAAAAUUUUCCUAUAAAAGUAAGUUGUUCAUGAAAAGUCAAUAGCAUCAAAUAAAGAAUGGAGAGAAUAUUAUAGUGGGCACAUUCACUUUAAUGUCAUAUUGGUGUAACCAUCGGUUCCUAUUGGGGAACCACAACUUUCCUUUCGGCAAGCAAACACUCUUGUACUUCGUUUUCAUGGUUCAGUCACCCAACACUGUUGAUAAUCAUCAUAGAAUUACAUAUUCAAAUCUUGAUUGAUUCAGAAUGAUUGCUUGCCCAUACUGGCCAGAAGCCCCAAAGAUUAUAACAUGUGAACCAAUAUGCUGGGCACCAAGUACCUAUUAGCAGCCCCCAACAUGCAUGUGAACCAAUGAUCCACGGAGUACCACACUGAAGCUGUGCCCCUGUAAAUCCUUUCAAACAGGAAGAAGAAUUAUCUUCCUUAAAUCUCUAGUCGUCAAAACAUGGUUACUGGAAAUUGGGAAUGACCAACCAUAUUAUUACCAUGUUUGAUUGUUGAUUACAAAUCUUGAGAACCAAGUAAAGUUCUUGGGGCAGUGGAGAAAAAUAGGUAGUAAUAGCCAGCAGUGAUGCCACGUUGCUGUAGGGUUUACUGUUACCAGGCAAGAAAGAAAAGAGUGCUAAAUACUCAUUUUGGAAAUUUUAAGCUGUUACAAUUUAGCAAUCUGCUUCAAAUUUAUCCAAGCUUCUAUACUCUAUAGUUGUGCAGCGCCAUCUGAUCGUUCUAGAUUCAACCCUGGUACUAGCAUCAUUUCUUUGUUUUCAAUGGAUAUAGGGAAAUCGUGCAGUUGACUGUUGUAUAGUUGACCUUGUAGAUAAUUCUGCACUGGAAGGUAUAUUAUUGACUUACGAAUAUGAAAGAGCAGCUAAGGACCAACUAAUACAAUUUAUUAAAGAAAUAAUGAGCCCACUUUAGUGCUGGGCUGCUGGCUGCUGGCUGCUGGGAUGGUGUCUAGCCCACAGUCUGCCCACAUACCUUACCCACUGGAGUUUGACUAGCAUUAGGGAUAAAUGUGCAUCCAGUUUCAGUUCCAAACCAUGAAACUUAUAUUAUUCCUUAUUGCAAAGUUCAGUCAUUAGUGAAACCAAGUACAUAUACAUGAUGCAAAUGCCAAAGUGAAACCCAGUGUAUCUUCAAUAUGGAGGAGCCUCAUGUGACAUUAUUUACACAAGCCAUUUUGCUCACUCAGCUAGUAUAUUUCACAAAUACUCAUUGCAACCAGAGUGCUCUGCACUGUAUGAAAUUGUUGAAACACACCAUGGUAUUUUCGAACUUGUACUGCAUCUUCUUAGUGCAGUUGAAGUCUGUAACAUAUCAAAGCAUAGAUUCUUUUUAUUAUGCUUUCUUCAUACUUGUAGUAACUCAAUUUGUUUGGAUACUAGAAAGAAUGUUUACCCCAGUUCAGGAGCCAUCAGUUCCUUGCGUCGAUCCCCCUCUUUUUGUUGUGAUUGCCUCUGUUCAAGAUUAGCAGGGACAUCUGCAUAUUGUGUUGUAAUACUAAAGCUGUAGGGAGUGCUAGAGCUUGCAUCAGCAACACCUCUUGGUUCACUGGCCUGGAGCUAAAAUUAAUUCGAUUAACUUCCUGCUGACAGAGCAUAUUUACUUGAUUAAAAUUUCUGCAAAGAUCAUUCAUCAAACCUUCCUGUGUAGUUCAACUUUUUGCUGUGACAUGACAUCUACUGUUCUACCGAGUUCCAUGUUUUCCUGGUGAAUUAGGCUACCCUGUUUCAAUGUCAGUAUAAAUUAAGAUGUCACUAACUUCCAUUGAACCAAGAAAAAACGACAAUUGCUUUUAGGACUUAACCUUCCUGUGUAACUCUUCAAUUUCACUUUUCAAAAUAUGGUCCUGUUUGACAUUACUGCAUAUUAGAUUGAAGUGAAUAGAAAACCAAAACAUGGUAACGAAAUGGAUAAUGAGUAUGACCUUCCUCAUUCUGAUACUACGCAGGCUCAUUUCAAGAUGGCUCUCUAAACUUUGGAGGUCUCUUACACCUAGGCCUGAAAGCUCCUCUCCCAUUAGUUGCCUACAGCAAUGAAAAAGAGUUUCUCAUGUUCUCUUAAGUAGGAUACUAAAAUUACUCUCAACGUAAAAUUACAUGGUUACACAGGUUGAAGUGAAGCAACUUAUUAUGUUGUUAGGGGAGAUUAACUAUCAAUUUAAUUUCCUGAAAUAAUGAAUGUUGUUAAUGUCUUCAAUAACUAUAUAUUUACUUAAUCCUUGGUUGAAACGUUUCACUUUUUUAUGUUCUAUGAAGUUUUUCAUGUGUCAUUGAAACUUCCUAUUGAUGAGUGAUCCUUUUUUUUUCAGAAUCAAUUGCAGACCAUACUUGUGGCUUUCUUGCAAGUUGUGCAGUUGUUGCCUCAAGCUUGCUGCCUCCCUUUGCCAGAGCUAUUAGUAAAACAGGAAGUACCGUCAGUUUAUGAGCUACAAAAUAUAAGCAUAGAAAAAUAAUUUAGAAAUGUAAGCAUAAUAUACUAGUACAUUGCUAAAGAUAAAUCAAUACUCAAUAACUUCCACAUGCUUUGGAUUUAAAUACAAGUACAUUGCUAAAGAUAAAUCAAUAACUCAAUAACUUCCACAUGCUUUGAAUUUUGGGUAACAUACUAGCACAUUGCUAAAGAAGUAAAGAUAAAUCAAUACUCAUUCCACAUGCUUUGGAUUCUGGUUAACAUACUAGUACAUUGCUAAAAGAUAAAUCAAUACUCAAUAACUUCCACAUGUCAAUGAUAUCUUUUGCAGAUUAACAAGAUUCAAUCAUUUGCUGGGGUAGUCUACAGCAAAUGCAUUGGUUCUCUUUAUUGAUAGCUAACACGUCUUUGCUUUCGUGCACUUCCUUUUGAGAAGCAAUGAAGUGGACCGUAGAAUGGAGAUGUGAUAGAAGAUGGCCUUUGAAUCUCUCUCCCAAACUUCCAGGUCCAGUGGCGUCAGAGCAUGCUCCCCUGCCAACUGAUCACCUCUGACCGUCUCUGGUGGUGUAUCCACUGUCGGGUUUGUGCCCCGCUGCCACAAUUAUGAUUGUCCCAAAUAAGCUACUCUGCGUGAACAGUCCCACAGGCUGUCUCCUGCAUCCGGCAGCAACGCUGCGGCACUUCGCCUGACGGCCCUACCUCCACUGGACCGAUUCCUAAGCCAGGAGCACACCAAAACCUCGGCAUUUCUGAAACUACAGGUGCUUGUAGUUUAGGAGGGUUUUUUUUUUUUCCCACCUUUGCUUCGUAUAAUAUUGCCUAACAGGCUUUGGAUGGCUUGUUUUGUAGCGACAAUGAUGGUGGCUGCCGAAUGCUGGCUUGAAGACGUUGCCUCCGGUAUCCGUAGCUGACUUAGUGCCUCCCUUAGUCCCUUUUACAUAGCACAUGGCCAACAAGAACCACAACGUAACUAUAAAGCCUUGUAUAUUCAGAAGUUCUCUUGAGUUAUUGUAAACUCUUUGCAUUGCCUGUAUAUAUGUGUUUGGCACGACAUGCCAGCAACCACCUUGUUUAUUGAGGUGAAACCCCUCUUCUGUAGUGUUUGGCUUGUUUUAAGGACAAUAUCCUUGUAUUAAACUAAUGUGGUAAAAUUGUUCCAUCAAUUCAUCAUGUUUUUUUUUGUGACUUGUAUAUAUGUUUGAAAUAAAUAUCUUCAGACACUGCUUAUGAAAGACAACUGAAGGUGCAGCAUGGCCCUCCAUUUUCAUCAUCCCAAAAUAGGUGUACAUUUCGCAGUAUGAAAAGCCAACUAAUUUUAAAUUUGACUAAAUUUGUAGGCAAUAAUAUUAACAUUCCAAUGAUGUACAUUUUGUAUCAUAAAACCUAAUAAUUUUUACUAUAUAUUUGGUUAAACUUAAUAUUAUUUGACUUCUCAGAGUGUGAGAUGUGCACUUAUUUUGGGACGGUUUAGGUAUGUACGAAGUUUGGUUUGAUAUAUUAUUUUUGCUUAUGUAUUUUUGUCUCAUAAGUAUCCAAAAUUAUUCCAAAAGGUUGCCCAAGCGGUGGCCGUUUAGUGUGACUAUGGCCUGAGCGGUGAGUGAGGAUAUCUAUUUGGCCAUCUAGGCGGGGUCAAAUAAUCGGUUUCAGCAUGAAACAAAUGCUGUGCCUUAGGCUGUCUCUAACAGGAGACUUAUUUGGAAACCCAAAACUAAAAUGGAUCUCCAACAUAAUAACUAUAGCCUCCAACAGAGUAUCCAUAUAGAAAACCCAUUUUGGGUAUCAGGAGAGGCAUAACCCAAAUUUGGGUAUCCUCUCUCCUCGAGACACAUUUGCAGAGAGUGUUGUCUUUUAGAUCUUGUUGUUGGAGAAGACUAAAAAUAGGUAU
Molecule: long non-coding RNA, 6535 nt
Filed under: Sorghum bicolor (sorghum)
Lineage: Eukaryota; Viridiplantae; Streptophyta; Magnoliopsida; Poales; Poaceae
Description: long non-coding RNA (SBIC_LNC007367)
Source: RNAcentral